ACUCCUACGGGAGGCAGCAGUAGGGAAUCUUCCACAAUGGACGAAAGUCUGAUGGAGCAACGCCGCGUGAGUGAAGAAGGAUUUCGGUUCGUAAAACUCUGUUGCAAGGGAAGAACAAGUAGCGUAGUAACUGGCGCUACCUUGACGGUACCUUGUUAGAAAGCCACGGCUAACUACGUGCCAGCAGCCGCGGUAAUACGUAGGUGGCAAGCGUUGUCCGGAAUUAUUGGGCGUAAAGCGCGCGCAGGUGGUUCCUUAAGUCUGAUGUGAAAGCCCCCGGCUCAACCGGGGAGGGUCAUUGGAAACUGGGGAACUUGAGUGCAGAAGAGGAUAGUGGAAUUCCAAGUGUAGCGGUGAAAUGCGUAGAGAUUUGGAGGAACACCAGUGGCGAAGGCGACUGUCUGGUCUGUAACUGACACUGAGGCGCGAAAGCGUGGGGAGCAAACAGGAUUAGAUACCCUGGUAGUC
This 468-nucleotide ribosomal RNA is filed under the name uncultured bacterium. RNAcentral's name for it is "bacterial SSU rRNA". It matches the Rfam family "Bacterial small subunit ribosomal RNA", at positions 335 to 795 of the family's 1533-position model. The record is from RNAcentral.